CAGAAGGCAAGGAAGCAAGUCUUCCUACAUCCCCAGCAGCAGGUCACUCCUUGAGCCAGUAGGAUUCGAAACAACAUUAAGACCAAGGCUGAUCCUACAUAGCCACAGGAUUCUGAGGGAAUGGUCUUUGGGUGAUGAAUGAAGGAAGAUGAGUUUCAGCCAAGCCUUUCACUGAUGUUCUUCUGUGCAGGGAGUCUGAAUCACUCCUAGUCUAAAAGGGAUGAAAUUGA
This is a long non-coding RNA of Vidua chalybeata, 230 nucleotides long. RefSeq lists it as uncharacterized. The record is from RefSeq and is a predicted model, not a curated record. The transcript is spliced from 2 exons. Lineage: Eukaryota; Metazoa; Chordata; Aves; Passeriformes; Viduidae.